GUUAGGAACUGAUGAAGGUAGUUUCGUGUCCCCUGUAGUUUCAAAUCUCAUGUUGUUGUCUAGGUGGUCACAUGACUCUUGUUUGGACCACCUUCCUUAUUAAUUGUAUUUACCAAAGAUAUACUUAAGAUUUAUGACUAGUUUCUACUUCUUCACAGUUCACACUUCACACCUCCUAGUGUUAAUGUUUUCCACCAAUUGCCUUUUUUCUCUUUUCUCAUAUCAUUUAUGAGGUAAAUUCCUUGAAAUAACAUAAACUUAAUUUUG
This 267-nucleotide long non-coding RNA is filed under the name Lotus japonicus. RNAcentral's name for it is "long non-coding RNA (LJAP_LNC001735)". The record is from RNAcentral. Lineage: Eukaryota; Viridiplantae; Streptophyta; Magnoliopsida; Fabales; Fabaceae.